CAAUAGCCCUGAUGGAAACGGCAUCCUUUUUUGUGGCGGACGGAACGGAGAGGAGACCGCCACAAAAAAGAUAUAGUGGACAGCAGGUUCCCGG
This 94-nucleotide small RNA is filed under the name Chryseobacterium sp. Leaf394. RNAcentral describes it as "Flavo-1 RNA". It matches the Rfam family "Flavo-1 RNA". Lineage: Bacteria; Pseudomonadati; Bacteroidota; Flavobacteriia; Flavobacteriales; Weeksellaceae. The record is from Rfam by way of RNAcentral.